This 468-nucleotide ribosomal RNA is filed under the name uncultured bacterium. RNAcentral's name for it is "partial 16S ribosomal RNA". It matches the Rfam family "Bacterial small subunit ribosomal RNA", at positions 28 to 507 of the family's 1533-position model. The record is from RNAcentral.
GACGAACGCUGGCGGCGUGCUUAACACAUGCAAGUCGAACGGGACGGCCCUGCUUUUUUGGGCUCGUCGAGUGGCGAACGGGUGAGUAACACGUGAGUAACCUGCCCCUGACUUUGGGAUAACUUCAGGACACUGGGGGUAAUACCGGAUAGGAGCUCCUGCUGCAUGGUGGGGGUUGGAAAGUUUCGGCGGUUGGGGAGGGACUCGCGGCCUAUCAGCUCGAUGGUGUGGUAGUGGAUUACCAAGGCUUUGCCGGGUAGCCGGGCUGAGAGGGUGAGAGGCCACGCUAGAAUUGGGAUGAGACACAGACUAGUACGGGACGCAAGGGUGCAGAAGAGUACACAAUGGGCGGAGGGCAGAUGCAGCAACGCCGCGUGCGGGAUGACAGGAAGGGGGUAGGAUACCAAUGUCGCCUGAGACGAGGCGAGAAUGACGGUAACGGGUAAAGAAGCACCGGCUAACUACGUG